Molecule: long non-coding RNA, 1322 nt
Organism: Spodoptera frugiperda (fall armyworm)
Lineage: Eukaryota; Metazoa; Arthropoda; Insecta; Lepidoptera; Noctuidae
Exons: 2
Source: RefSeq, a predicted model, not a curated record
UAAAAAAUCUUUAUUUAUAAUUGUAAAUAGAUAGUACAACACACUUAGGUGGAAUAAUGAAAAUUAAAUAUAUUUACUAUAAAAUACUUAACAAUAAUUAUUUUUAGUACCUUCUUACCUAGGCUUGGUUGGGAAUGUACAAUUAUUAAAAAUAAUAUCCAAUUAACCCAGAGGUGGACUAAACCUAUAGAGCGCCGUAGGCAAGCACCUCAUAGGAGCCUUUGAUGUUUUUAGCGCAGCUCCACUCCAUGGGCAAUAUGGGCACGUGUGUCUCGUGGCGCCUCUCUGUGCUCUAGCGCCCUUGUUAGGUACUUGUCUAGUUUACCUUAGGCUCUAAAUUAACCUAUAGUCCGCACGAUCUGAGAAGUCAACUCCGACAGUUAUCAUGUACUGAGAAUUAAAUAAAAUCGGUUGCUGUUUAAUGACCGAUUCCAAAGUCAUACCUAUCGAGUAAAAAUAAUUAGAGUUUGUACCAAUCACUGAAUUAGAAAAUAUAAUUAUGUCUCAAGAACUUCCGAAAUAGUGUGAGACUGCGUACGGCAUUGAUGAAUCAAUUAACCUAACCGAUUUAAAAAUAAAAUUAAUAUGAUAGAUCUGAACAACGGAUAACUGACGUGUAACAUCGAUCACUAAGGUAACAGAUUUGAAGGUUUGAAAUUGUAAUGGCGGCCUCUUGGUAUUAGGUAUUAUCUUUUAAAUAAUUCGUCUAUUAAAUGCAUUUCUAUAAUAUAAUGAUAAAUUUGAUGCUUAUAAAUUAUAUCCUUAUGAAAAUGUAUGAGUAGGUAAUGAAUGAAAUAAUAUUAGAUAUGAAUUAGUUUUUUUUCAGUAAGUAUUUACGUGAACGAUCCAAGACAUUCGUAACAUGUUAUAGCGGUACAUAGACUGACAAAAUGUCAGAGUUGACCUCUUAAAUUGUGCCGACUAUAAUAACGCAAGUCCGGCAUAAUAUAAAAUAAUCUCUUAAAUUGUAAGUACCCACAUAGCAUCAAAACGUACCUACUUUUCUUUUACCCGACUGCGCCAGAAGGAGGGUUAUGUUUUUCGAGUGUAUGUAUGUAUGUAUGUAUGUAUGUAUAAUUGUUUGGCACGCUCUGCAGCCUAAACGGCUUGAUGGAUUUUGACUUGAGAGGUGUCGUUAGAUUCGUAUUUACUGUGAGAGUGACACUGGAUAUAUAAAAAUAAUAAAAAAACAAAAUGGCGGAUUUUUGGCGCCAAAUUCGAAUAUUGCUCACUCUCUAGCCUGAACGACUCGAUGGAUUUCCGCUUGAUAGGGGUCGUUUGAUUCGUAUUUACUGUGAGAGUGACACUAGAUAUAUCAAAAU